AUUGAACGCUGGCGGCGUGCUUAACACAUGCAAGUCGAACGAGAAAGCCUGAUUUCGGUCGGGCGAGUAAAGUGGCGCACGGGUGAGUAACGCGUAGGUAACCUGCCCCUGUGUUCGGGAUAACAGUGCGAAAGCGCUGCUAAUACCGAAUACGUCCAAGAGGCGAAGGUCUCUUGGUCAAAGUCGGCCUCUCGCAGAAGCUGACGCACGGGGAUGGGCCUGCGUCCUAUCAGCUUGUUGGUAGGGUAACGGCCUACCAAGGCUUCGACGGGUAGCUGGUCUGAGAGGAUGAUCAGCCACACUGGCACUGAAACACGGGCCAGACUCCUACGGGAGGCAG
Molecule: ribosomal RNA, 340 nt
Filed under: uncultured Pseudomonadota bacterium
Lineage: Bacteria; Pseudomonadati; Pseudomonadota
Description: bacterial SSU rRNA
Rfam family: Bacterial small subunit ribosomal RNA
Source: RNAcentral